This 528-nucleotide ribosomal RNA is filed under the name uncultured bacterium. Its description in RNAcentral is "bacterial SSU rRNA". It matches the Rfam family "Bacterial small subunit ribosomal RNA", at positions 18 to 518 of the family's 1533-position model. The record is from RNAcentral.
CUGGCGUCAGGACGAACGCUGGCGGCGUGCCUAAUACAUGCAAGUCGAACGGUCUUUCUAUGGAAGCUUGCUUCCACUGAGAAGAUAGUGGCGAACGGGUGAGGUAACACGUGGGUAACCUGCCCAUAAGAGGGGGAUAACAUCCGGAAACGGGUGCUAAUACCGCAUAGUUUUCUUGAUCGCAUGAUCGGGAAAGGAAAGACGGCCUUUGUGCUGUCGCUUAUGGAUGGACCCGCGGCGUAUUAGUUAGUUGGUGAGGUAACGGCUCACCAAGACGAUGAUACGUAGCCGACCUGAGAGGGUGAUCGGCCACAUUGGGACUGAGACACGGCCCAAACUCCUACGGGAGGCAGCAGUAGGGAAUCUUCCGCAAUGGACGAAAGUCUGACGGAGCAACGCCGCGUGAGUGAAGAAAGGUUUUCGGAUCGUAAAACUCUGUUGUCAGAGAAGAACAAGUUGGAGAGUAACUGCUCCAGCCUUGACGGUAUCUGACCAGAAAGCCACGGCUAACUACGUGCCAGCCGCCGC